RNAcentral lists this unclassified non-coding RNA (338 nucleotides) under Hevea brasiliensis (rubber tree). Lineage: Eukaryota; Viridiplantae; Streptophyta; Magnoliopsida; Malpighiales; Euphorbiaceae. The record is from RNAcentral.
GGGUGAGAUUGAAGAUCUUAAUGUAGCUGAUAUUGUGGAUAUUGAGAAGGACUUGCCUGACGGUGGCCAAGUAGCUGAAAUGGAUGUUAUUCCCGACUUAGAUCCUACUAGAGAUGAUGAAAAACCUGUUCAAGAGAUCGGACCUUUGUCAGCUGAUUGGCAUGCGCAUAAACAACGUGAGGUCCAAAUGGGCAAGCUUCCUCGUGAAGCAGAAAAUGUUAGUUACCAAAACCAUUCUAGUGAAAUUGGAAGCAUUGACAAGGAUAGCUUCAGGGAUGAGCUGUCUAAUAGCGUCCAAAAAUCUCAAAAAAGUAAAACUAAAAGAGCGCGUGAUGAAA